This is a long non-coding RNA of Sitophilus oryzae (rice weevil), 1729 nucleotides long. RefSeq lists it as uncharacterized. Lineage: Eukaryota; Metazoa; Arthropoda; Insecta; Coleoptera; Curculionidae. The transcript has 4 exons. The record is from RefSeq and is a predicted model, not a curated record.
UUCAGAUAUUAACAUUUAUAUGUUUAGCACAUUAUUUUCUAUGUCUUAACAUCAUUAAAUAUGUUUUUUAAACGUUUGGAUAUAUUUCUUCUACAUAUUUCAUUAUUUAUGCCAUUUCAUAUGUGUGGUGUUAUGUAAUGGUUUUUAUGGUUCUCGUUUUUUUUUAAACUACGCAUUUAGAAAUACGUUAUUUUACUCAUAUUGUUCAGUUUUAGGAAAUAUAUACCAUAUACAUCAUUUACAAGAUUUACAUAGUAUGUAAAAUAUUUUGUGUUGAUUUUAAAAGACUGUAUUUCUAAGGUAUUCUCUGUAUUGGUCGAGCUAUUCCAGAAGGCUGCAGGAUUAAAAAUUACUUUGAAACUUUUACAAAUACAUUUUCUAGAUGUAAAACACUAAUCUUUUGUAGGUUGUGAAUUUUGAUUGUCCUAAAAUAUGUUUUUUUUUGUUUUAUACAUGGUAAUAAUACCUUACACGAGCACACAGUCUUCAAGCAUCCUUUCACAGAAGAAAAGAUGGAGGUGAUCUCAGACAAAGGUGCUUAAUUGUGAUCUGAUGAGGCCUAAUCGUCUGUCAAGGUUUAAAUCUGAUGAAGGAAAAUAAGCAUCGGAAGACAAAGGUUUAUGAUAAAUGGAGGUGUAUAUAACACAGUUCUGUCCUAUCUACAACAACAACUUGUACACUAAUUAAAUUCUCAAUUUUACUGGUUGCCUACCCAAUUCUUUAAAAAAUUGAUAUUAAGUUCUGUAUGGGUCUAACAAAUCAAGGUAAAUCAAAGAAAUGGGAAAUCAUCGGGUUUUACCUCAAUUUUCCUCAUUUAGACGAAUAUCGAAAGUGGCAGUGGCAAGAGUUUUUGAUGCAGUCAAAUCUACAGGGUGAUACAAAUACUACUUCACAGAUACAGCAGAAGAUAUAGAUAGAUAUGUUGGAUUACAAUUAUAUAUGGGACAAAUAAAUCAAGAUUUUGUACAACAAAUCGAUGGAUGUAUACAGUUCCAAAGCAGUACAUUUAUCAUUUUAACGAAUAUUACUAACAAUGCAUCAGGACUUAUAAGUAUAUCUAAAAGUUUAUUUCUUUUGGGUAAAUAUAUUUAAACUGGUUUUUAAUGUUCUUCGGUGGAUUUCAUGAUUUCUAAAUUUAAUUAUGUAGGAAAAAAAAUCCAGUGAGUCUCUGAGUUACAUUUUUAUGUCCCUUUAUUGUCAUAGGAAAAUUCAGAACAUCUGUUUUUAAUUUGCACCAAUUUUUGGCUUUUGAUCACUCCUUAUUCCUUUUGGGAGAAUACCAUCUUGAGGAAUUUAAUUUCGUGUUGUUUUUGGUUUACUUUCUUUUCUCUAUAAUAGCUUGAUUUUUCAUUGAUUCUAAAAAAUAUUUCAUUGAUUGUAUAUUUCUAUAAGUCUUCUUUUACUUGUAUUAUGUUUCUGAUGGUGUUAUUUAAUACUUUUUGCUUGUGUAAUUCUUUGUACAAAAUUUCAGUUUUGAUGGAUUCAUUUCCAUGUCAUUUUUUCAGAUCAUAUGCCAUGAAUUCCUGUCAUUUUACUUAUUCUGUUGCUUUAGUUUGUGUGCGUUUAAAUAAAAUUUAAACACACUUAAAAAUCUGAAGACUAAUUUCCGACCAAUUCCUGGCGCAUUCGCCAUUUAUUUAAAAACCGUAACUACUCCACAGGAUAUCACUUCUGCCUUUCCCAGCAUUUUUCCAAUUAAUUUCCCCGAGUAACAUCGACUCCAGAGCAU